UGUCCAUCUUGAGCAUCACGCAACAAUUCGCCCGUUCCGGCGUGAGGCUGCGAAUAGCGAAUGCACCUGCCAAUAGUUCCAGGCAGUUGAUAUGGAGUGUUCGCUCCUGAUUCGACCAUCUGCCUUCGGUAGAUGCGGCACCACAACGCGCGCCCCAGCCGUGUAAGCUGGCAUCUGACUCUAUCACGAUGUCCGGGACAGAACCGAAUAUGGCUCUCCCGUUCCAGGCGUCCAUGUGGGCCAGCCACCAGGUCAGCUCGUCUCUGGACUCGCCGUCGAGUCUCACUCUCUGUUCGUAAGAGUGGCCGGCACGUAGGUGAGAGCCUUUUAAGCGUCGAAGGGCCCGGUAAUGGAGGGGGCCAGGGAAAAUUGCUUGUAUUGAGGCGGCCAAGAGGCCGAUCACCCUCGCCAGAUGUCGGAUAGAGAUGUCGUCUGCACGUAGUGUACGUCUGAUUUCCUUCUUGAUCGCCUUCGUCUUGGACUCCGGAAGGAACAGGAAUUGUUGGACGGAGUCCACUGUAAACCCCAGAAAUUCCAGCGAUUGGGUGGGGUCUAAUACCGACUUCUCCCAAUUGAUGAGAAAACCUAGGUUCUGGAGUAAGGACGUAGUCCAUGAUACAUGAAUCGUCAGUAAUUCUCUUGACUUGGCCAUCAGCAAGAUGUUGUCCAAAUAGAUGAUCAGACGUACUCCGCGACUCCGAAGGAAGGAUACCACAGGUUUCAUGACCUUGGUGAAGCACCAGGGGGCCGAGGAGAGACCGAAUGGCAGACAGGUAAACUUCCAGCGCUUUGCCUUCCAGGUGAAAUGGAGGAAAUCUCUGUGGGCCGAGGUUAUAGGCACCGUAAAAUAGGCGUCCUUGAGGUCUAGUUUGGCCAACCAGUCGGACUCCUGAAGGAGGUCUCGAAGGCAAUGGAUGCCCUCCAUCUGGAAAUGGCGAUACUGGAGAAAAGCAUUGAGGGGGCGGAGGUUGAUGACCGGACGCACACCCCCGCCUUUCUUCGGGACUAGAAACAGGUUGCUUGUAAAGCCCUGUUGAGUAAACGGGACCUCUUGUAUUGCACCUUUGGUGCGUAGUUCCACGAUCUCCGAAGAGAUCAAUUCUUCCUGCUCUCGAGCUAGCGAGAGUUCCCUGGGGACAAAAGUUUGAACAGGAAAAGACACAAAAUCUAUGUGGUAACCCUUCACUGUUUGAAGAACCCAAGCAUCUGCCGUCAGGGCCACCCAUGCCUCGGAAAACUGGGCCAAUCUGCCCGCCACCCGCUCUCGUGUAUGAUGGACAAAAGGGGUACUCACCAUAAGGGCGUCUGCCUGAUGAGGCACCUCUCGGGUAGCGGGGAUUCCAGGACCUCCCUCUGGAUGGGAAGAACGGAGCCGGUCUGGGCUCUUGGAAGUUUCUGGUAGGGAAAAAGGAGCCUCGC
This is a non-coding RNA of Pelobates cultripes (western spadefoot toad), 1419 nucleotides long. Lineage: Eukaryota; Metazoa; Chordata; Amphibia; Anura; Pelobatidae. The record is from the annotation of a GenBank genome assembly.